GAGUUUGAUCCUGGCUCAGAUUGAACGCUGGCGGCAUGCUUUACACAUGCAAGUCGAACGGUAACAUGGGUGCUUGCACCUGAUGACGAGUGGCGAACGGGUGAGUAAUACAUCGGAACAUGCCCAAUUGUGGGGGAUAGCUCGGCGAAAGCCGGAUUAAUACCGCAUAAGAUCUACGGAUGAAAGCAGGGGACCUUCGGGCCUUGCGCGAUUGGAGUGGCCGAUGGCAGAUUAGGUAGUUGGUGGGGUAAAGGCCUACCAAGCCUGCGAUCUGUAGCUGGUCUGAGAGGACGACCAGCCACACUGGGACUGAGACACGGCCCAGACUCCUACGGGAGGCAGCAGUGGGGAAUUUUGGACAAUGGGCGCAAGCCUGAUCCAGCAAUGCCGCGUGCAGGACGAAGGCCUUCGGGUUGUAAACUGCUUUUGUACAGAACGAAAAGUCUCUGGUUAAUAUCCUGGGGAUUC
Molecule: ribosomal RNA, 468 nt
Filed under: Vandammella animalimorsus
Lineage: Bacteria; Pseudomonadati; Pseudomonadota; Betaproteobacteria; Burkholderiales; Comamonadaceae
Description: bacterial SSU rRNA
Rfam family: Bacterial small subunit ribosomal RNA
Source: RNAcentral